RNAcentral lists this long non-coding RNA (210 nucleotides) under Elaeis guineensis (African oil palm). RNAcentral describes it as "long non-coding RNA (EGUI_LNC044273)". Lineage: Eukaryota; Viridiplantae; Streptophyta; Magnoliopsida; Arecales; Arecaceae. The record is from RNAcentral.
GCCUACAGUGCCAUGAGUAGAUAUCUGAUACACUAUCUAAUCUAAGGUGCUUGCUAGUAGAAUAGACUCUUAUCGGGCUUGAUCUUUUUGGUCUGGCCCUAUACUGAUGUCCCAGCCUGAACUUGCACCUUCUUCACUUUCUUCUUCUUGUUCUUCUUCACUUUCUUAAAGGGUCGAGAACCAGAAGACGAACCUUUCAUUAAGUUCACC